Small nuclear RNA from Chlorocebus sabaeus (green monkey), 104 nucleotides. The record is from Ensembl. NCBI's taxonomy places the organism in Eukaryota, Metazoa, Chordata, Mammalia, Primates, Cercopithecidae.
GUGCUCCUCUUGGCAGCACAUAUACUAAAAUUGGAAUGUUACAAAGAUUAGGAUGGCCCCUGCGCAAGAAUGACAGGCAAAUUCAUGAAGCGUUCCAUUAUUUU